UAACCUGCCUUGGAGUGGGGAAUAACACAUCGAAAGAUGUGCUAAUACCGCAUAAUGCAGUUGGGCCGCAUGGCUCUGGCUGCCAAAGAUUUAUCGCUCUGAGAUGGACUCGCGUCUGAUUAGCUGGUUGGCGGGGUAACGGCCCACCAAGGCGACGAUCAGUAGCCGGACUGAGAGGUUGACCGGCCACAUUGGGACUGAGACACGGCCCAGACUCCUACGGGAGGCAGCAG
RNAcentral lists this ribosomal RNA (233 nucleotides) under uncultured bacterium. RNAcentral's name for it is "partial 16S ribosomal RNA". It matches the Rfam family "Bacterial small subunit ribosomal RNA", at positions 122 to 354 of the family's 1533-position model. The record is from RNAcentral.